RNAcentral lists this ribosomal RNA (498 nucleotides) under uncultured bacterium. Its description in RNAcentral is "partial 16S ribosomal RNA". It matches the Rfam family "Bacterial small subunit ribosomal RNA", at positions 30 to 523 of the family's 1533-position model. The record is from RNAcentral.
AUUGAACGCUGGCGGCAUGCCUUACACAUGCAAGUCGAACGGUAACAGGUCUUCGGAUGCUGACGAGUGGCGGACGGGUGAGUAAUACAUCGGAACGUGCCUAGUAGUGGGGGAUAACUACUCGAAAGAGUGGCUAAUACCGCAUGAGAUCUACGGAUGAAAGCAGGGGAUCGCAAGACCUUGUGCUACUAGAGCGGCCGAUGGCAGAUUAGGUAGUUGGUGGGAUAAAAGCUUACCAAGCCGACGAUCUGUAGCUGGUCUGAGAGGACGAUCAGCCACACUGGGACUGAGACCCGGCCCAGACUCCUACGGGAGGCAGCAGUGGGGAAUUUUGGACAAUGGGCGAAAGCCUGAUCCAGCAAUGCCGCGUGCAGGAUGAAGGCCUUCGGGUUGUAAACUGCUUUUGUACGGAACGAAAAGCCCCGGGUUAAUACCCUGGGGUCAUGACGGUACCGUAAGAAUAAGCACCGGCUAAUUACGUGCCAGCCGCCGCGGUAA